RNAcentral lists this ribosomal RNA (540 nucleotides) under uncultured Bacillota bacterium. Its description in RNAcentral is "bacterial SSU rRNA". It matches the Rfam family "Bacterial small subunit ribosomal RNA", at positions 388 to 917 of the family's 1533-position model. The record is from RNAcentral. Lineage: Bacteria; Bacillati; Bacillota.
GGAGCAACGCCGCGUGAAUGAAGAAGGCCUUCGGGUCGUAAAAUUCUGUUGUCAGAGAAGAAUGUGCGUGAGAGUAACUGUUCACGUAUUGACGGUAUCUGACCAGAAAGCCACGGCUAACUACGUGCCAGCAGCCGCGGUAAUACGUAGGUGGCAAGCGUUGUCCGGAUUUAUUGGGCGUAAAGGGAACGCAGGCGGUCUUUUAAGUCUGAUGUGAAAGCCUUCGGCUUAACCGAAGUAGUGCAUUGGAAACUGGAAGACUUGAGUGCAGAAGAGGAGAGUGGAACUCCAUGUGUAGCGGUGAAAUGCGUAGAUAUAUGGAAGAACACCAGUGGCGAAAGCGGCUCUCUGGUCUGUAACUGACGCUGAGGUUCGAAAGCGUGGGUAGCAAACAGGAUUAGAUACCCUGGUAGUCCACGCCGUAAACGAUGAGUGCUAAGUGUUGGAGGGUUUCCGCCCUUCAGUGCUGCAGCUAACGCAUUAAGCACUCCGCCUGGGGAGUACGGUCGCAAGACUGCGAACUCAAAAUGAAUUGACGGA